GAUGAACGCUGGCGGCGUGCUUAACACAUGCAAGUCGAACGGAAAGGCCUCUGCUUGCAGGGGUACUCGAGUGGCGAACGGGUGAGUAACACGUGGGUGAUCUGCCCUGCACUUCGGGAUAAGCCUGGGAAACUGGGUCUAAUACCGGAUAGGACAAUGGUUUGGAUGCUGUUGUGGAAAGUUUUUCGGUGUGGGAUGAGCUCGCGGCCUAUCAGCUUGUUGGUGGGGUAAUGGCCUACCAAGGCGUCGACGGGUAGCCGGCCUGAGAGGGUGUACGGCCACAUUGGGACUGAGAUACGGCCCAGACUCCUACGGGAGGCAGCAGUGGGGAAUAUUGCACAAUGGGCGCAAGCCUGAUGCAGCGACGCCGCGUGGGGGAUGACGGCCUUCGGGUUGUAAACUCCUUUCGCUAGGGACGAGGCGUUUUUGUGACGGUACCUGGAGAAGAAGCACCGGCUAACUACGUG
This 467-nucleotide ribosomal RNA is filed under the name uncultured bacterium. Its description in RNAcentral is "partial 16S ribosomal RNA". It matches the Rfam family "Bacterial small subunit ribosomal RNA", at positions 28 to 507 of the family's 1533-position model. The record is from RNAcentral.